AAGACUAUACUGUUGGGGAUUGUUUCUGUAAUUUAUUAUUAGAGAAGUUUCUCUGAAUGUGUAGAGCACCAGAAAAUACAAGGCAGAGAUGCAACAUUUUGUCUGGAGCAUGAAACUGGUUCUAGGUGUUGCUACACUCACUGCAGCUGCCAUAUGCCAUUGAUGAUUGGUCUUCUCCACCUUUGGGAAUGUGAGAGGGAGAGGGUGCAAUCGGAGUGGU
Molecule: small nucleolar RNA, 220 nt
Filed under: Carlito syrichta (Philippine tarsier)
Lineage: Eukaryota; Metazoa; Chordata; Mammalia; Primates; Tarsiidae
Description: Small nucleolar RNA U3 (ENSTSYG00000024213.2)
Rfam family: Small nucleolar RNA U3
About the family: Small nucleolar RNAs (snoRNAs) are involved in the processing and modification of rRNA in the nucleolus. There are two main classes of snoRNAs: the box C/D class, and the box H/ACA class.
Source: Rfam by way of RNAcentral